Molecule: long non-coding RNA, 1676 nt
Organism: Anguilla rostrata (American eel)
Lineage: Eukaryota; Metazoa; Chordata; Actinopteri; Anguilliformes; Anguillidae
Exons: 2
Source: RefSeq, a predicted model, not a curated record
CAGGGCUAGGGGAGGGAAGUUGGAUGUUCAGUCAGCAUAAGAGGGAGAAAUAUCACAGGGCUGGGCUUUUCAUGCAUAAGAGAGAAAUCUCACAUGGCUGGGCUUUUCAUGCAUAAGAGAGAAAUCUCACAGGACUGGGCCAUUCACGCAUAAGAAUGAAUAAUUUAUAGUUUAAAUCAUUUAAAUCUAAAUUUUUGUCCACCAAUAUGGCAGUGAAGCAUGAAGUUUUUAUUAAUUUUUUUAUACACACACACACAAGCAUACACAAUGCUGUAAAAAAGUGUUUGCCCCCUUCCUGAUUUCAUUUAUUAUUGAAUAUUUGUCACACUGAAUGGUUUCAGAUUAUUAGACAAAAUGUAAUAUUAGACAAAGAAACUAAGAGUAAACACAAAACACAUAAUAUAUAUUUCAUUCAUUUAAUAAAAAAAGUUAUCAAACACCCAUAUCACCCAUGUGAAACAGUAAUUGCCCCCUAAGUUACUUAAUCAAGAAUUUAACCAAAUUUAAUUGAUAAUUAGAUUCAGCGGACUGAACACAGCCAGGCUUAAUUGCACCCAGCCCUUUUGAAUCUAAACCUCACUGAUACAGAACUUUACCAUCAGAGUGAGGUUGUCACAGUUUCUACAAGCACAUUAUGCCAUAAUCAAAGGAAAUCCCAAAAGAGGUUAGAAAAAAGUUGUUGAAAUACAUCAGUCUGGUAAGCCACUAUCACCAAAUGGGGAACACUUGGAACAGUGGUGAAUCUUCCCAUGAGUGGCCGGUCUGCCAAAAUUUCUCAAGGAAAACUCAUCCAGGAAGUCACAAAAGAUCCCAGAAGAACAUCCAAAGAACUCGCCUCAGCUUUGGUCAGUGUUCACGCCUCCACAACAAGAAAGAGACUCAGUAAAAAUGGAAUUCAUGGGAAAGUAGCAAGGUGGAAACCACUGCUAACCAAGAGAAAUAUCAAUGCUUAUCUCAUAUUUGCAAAGAAAAGAACCUGCAUGGACCCCAGGCCUUUUGGGAUAAUGUUCUAUGGUCAGAUGAGUCAAACUGGAACUUUUUGGAUGACACGGGUCCCAUUAUAUCUGGGGUAAAGCAAAUAGUUUUUUUUUUUUGAAGGUAGAGAUUGAAGGUGAAACUCACUUUCCCCAUCAAAUGCACUCCCGCUCGGCACAAUGACAGCACUUCGUAUAACUAGUCAAAUUAGGCGACUCGGCUAAAUGCUACCUAUUGCUAACAACAUUAGGCCUUCUACAAAAUGCGGUAUGAAUAAACAGACAAGCUGGGCAACUUAUACGUUAUUACUAACAUUGUAAAUAGAUUUAUGUGGGUGAGGGUGACAAAUUCAGUGUUUUUUCUAGUGGUAGGCUAUAGACCUUUCUCAAGUCAAUUCGCACCUUGGCCAUUUUCUAGAGCCGGUUUUGAAAUUUCACUUAUCUACUUAACCUUAAACGACCUUUACUUUAAACCUUUUGAAACCAAACACUUUCAUUUUCAUUAGUGCCAAAUGCACGCGUGUAGCUUACUCACCCAACAGGACGCAAAAACUGGCACAUCUUAUUUCCGGCUGGGAAUGAGACAUCUGAUUAAAAACUAUUAGUAAUAGUAUUACGUGAAAAUUCCUUAAUUUAAACUCUCUCCAGCAAAUAAGACGUCUUUUCUCCGCUGGCUAGCUUCGCAUGUCUGGCUAAAGUUAA